ACCAAAGAACUGAUUAGCUGAAAACAAUGACUAAUCAAAUCAGUAACCAUGGUGACAAAUUGACAAACUCAGGCAGGGAGACUGUGAACAAAGACAACACAAAGUCCAAGCACAAUGAAACUGUUACACCUUUAGCUCUAUAAUGUUUAACAUUUGUUUAUUAGUGUCAUCUUUUCAAGAAAUAAAUUACAUGGUAGAAUUAUGUCUUUUCUAUUUUGUUUAGUUUUUUUCUGCAUUUUUUUUUUCAGUAACAACAGCAACAACACCAGAAUUGUUUAGAGUUAAAAUGUCAUUGAGAAUAAAUGAAGAUUUUGAUACCAGUCUCAACGACCCCAAUGAUGAGAAGUACAAACGAUAUGCUGGUCAAAUAAAGGAAGCGAUUGAAAAAAGUUACAGAAAUAUAAAUGCCUACAACAACGGUUCAGUCAGAGUUACUGGCUUCAGGCCUGGUAGCAUUAUAGCAGACUAUGAAAUUAGUGCAACAACCAACAACCCCAGCAACUCUGAAUUUGCAACAGCAAACAGUCAGGUUAUCAAAAAUCUCGAAGGUAUCUUGUUGGUAGAUGGUUUUUCUG
Rhinichthys klamathensis goyatoka is the source of this 575-nucleotide long non-coding RNA. RefSeq lists it as uncharacterized. Lineage: Eukaryota; Metazoa; Chordata; Actinopteri; Cypriniformes; Leuciscidae. The transcript has 4 exons. The record is from RefSeq and is a predicted model, not a curated record.